RNAcentral lists this non-coding RNA (364 nucleotides) under Vitis vinifera (wine grape). RNAcentral's name for it is "Bacterial large subunit ribosomal RNA". It matches the Rfam family "Bacterial large subunit ribosomal RNA", at positions 2108 to 2462 of the family's 2925-position model. The record is from Rfam by way of RNAcentral. Lineage: Eukaryota; Viridiplantae; Streptophyta; Magnoliopsida; Vitales; Vitaceae.
CUUUCCUUAUUUAUUUAUUUAUUUUGUUGUGUAUCUUAGGUGAACAGUAAAGAAAGCCUCCUUAUAGAGGGCUUGAGCCAUUAGUGAGGUACCACUCUAGGAAAUGCUAGAAUUCUAACCUUUUGUUAGGACCUACAGCCCACAAGGUAGUCUCAAAUAGACAGUUUUUAUGAGGUGUAGGCCCCCUAAAAGGUAAUACAGUGUGCAAAUGUUUUCUUAGACCAUAUGGACAUUGGCCAUCGAGCGUAAAUGUAGAAGGGAGCUUCAUUGCAAGACCCACCCAUUAAACGGUGACACUCUUUUUGUGUCAGUCUUAGAGAUCCAAUGGUGCUAAGUAGAAGGGUCAUUACUCAAUGGAUAAAAG